GUGGGGAAUAUUGGACAAUGGGGGGAACCCUGAUCCAGCCAUGCCGCGUGUGUGAAGAAGGCCUUUUGGUUGUAAAGCACUUUAAGCGAGGAGGAGGCUACCGAGAUUAAUACUCUUGGAUAGUGGACGUUACUCGCAGAAUAAGCACCGGCUAACUCUGUGCCAGCAGCCGCGGUAAUACAGAGGGUGCAAGCGUUAAUCGGAUUUACUGGGCGUAAAGCGCGCGUAGGUGGCCAAUUAAGUCAAAUGUGAAAUCCCCGAGCUUAACUUGGGAAUUGCAUUCGGUACUGGUUGGCUAGAGUAUGGGAGAGGAUGGUAGAAUUCCAGGUGUAGCGGUGAAAUGCGUAGAGAUCUGGAGGAAUACCGAUGGCGAAGGCAGCCAUCUGGCCUAAUACUGACACUGAGGCGCGAAAGCAUGGGGAGCAAACAGGAUUAGAAACCCGAGUAGUCC
RNAcentral lists this ribosomal RNA (451 nucleotides) under uncultured bacterium. RNAcentral describes it as "partial 16S ribosomal RNA". It matches the Rfam family "Bacterial small subunit ribosomal RNA", at positions 354 to 796 of the family's 1533-position model. The record is from RNAcentral.